CACGCUGUAAACUAAUGUGCGUUAGGUGUGUCAGUGACCACGUGUCACUGAGGUGCCGAAGGGAAACCGUGAAACGCACCGCCUGGGGAGUACGGUCGCAAGGCUGAAACUUAAAGGAAUUGGCGGGGGGAGCACAACAACGGGUGGAGCUUGCGGUUUAAUUGGAUUCAACGCCGGAAAUCUUACCGGGACCGACAGCAACAUGAAGGCCAAGCUGAAGACUUUGCCGGAUUAGCUGAGAGGAGGUGCAUGGCGUAGUCGUGU
RNAcentral lists this ribosomal RNA (264 nucleotides) under uncultured archaeon. RNAcentral describes it as "partial 16S ribosomal RNA". It matches the Rfam family "Archaeal small subunit ribosomal RNA", at positions 747 to 1009 of the family's 1478-position model. The record is from RNAcentral.